RNAcentral lists this ribosomal RNA (383 nucleotides) under uncultured bacterium. RNAcentral's name for it is "bacterial SSU rRNA". It matches the Rfam family "Bacterial small subunit ribosomal RNA", at positions 28 to 426 of the family's 1533-position model. The record is from RNAcentral.
GAUAAACGCUGGCGGCGUGCCUAACACAUGCAAGUCGAACGCCCUUUUGCGCAAGUGAGAGGGAGUGGCGGACGGGUGAGUACCACGUGGGUACCUACCUUGAGGUGAGGAAUACCACCGAGAAAUCGGUGACAAGACCGCAUACGCUUGGCAACAAGCAAAGUCUCGCAAGAGACGCCACAAGAUGGGCCUGCGCCUGAUUAGCUAGUUGGUGAGGUAAUGGCUCACCAAGGCGACGAUCAGUAGCUGGUCUGAGAGGAUGAUCAGCCACACUGGGAUUGAGAACGGCCCAGACUCCUACGGGGGCAGCAGUGAGGAAUUUCGUCAAUGGGGGCAACCCUGAACGAGCAACGCCGCGUGCAGGACGACACUUUUCGGAGCGU